UACUCAUGAAAAAAGCUGUAUGUUUGUGCAUUAAAAGGAAUUAUCGCCUCUUCUUUACUUCUGUAACAUAUCCUCAAAGUAAGUCAGACAACUGAUGAUUGUUAGUCACUAACAAUCGUGGUGAUAAACAAUCAUGAGUGAGCAUCAGAAAUUCUAGGCUGUAAGUUCAAUGUUUCUUCAUACUGAUGAUAAAGACAAUUUCUCAUCUUCUAAAUGAAGUAUUUAUUUCACGACUAUCUCAUGCCGGUCGCCGUCAUAUGGAUGGUCUUAAUACUAAACGUAGCUAUUUAUGGUAGUUUGCACAUCUCUGUGUAAAUCACUGUGGAGGCUACGAGGAUAAUUUGUUUACAGCUAUUUCCCCAUGAUACAGGUCAUAGGCUAAGUAUUGGCCAGUGGAAAUAGGUUGUAGGAGAUUUAGGGAAUUAUUUCUGCUUUGAACAUGCUGUAAUAUUUAUUUAAAUGGCUCGUGCUUAGAAAUGUAUAGCAAUUUCAAAGAAACUAAAGAUUUUUCUCCAAAACAUUAUACUUUUAUUCUUAUAACAACCUCCCAGUUUUGCUUCAUGAAUAUUUAGUUCUGUAUAUCUGGAGUGAGUAACUAAGGAAGGUGGGAUUAGGACUUGAUCCAACAAAUUACGUUUGUAGCGUAGUGACAUAGAUUUUUAUCAUAGUGAAUAUAAUAUUGUGUACUAAAGAUUACUAUGUACAAAAUACUGAUGUAUGUAUUGAAGGGCAUCUGACAUGCUCUUGUGGCUGUAUUUUUUUCAUGGUGGGGGCAGACCGCAUUACGAUGAGGCCGCUUCUCACCAUAACUGUACUUUUUCUGCAAAGAGUAGGUGAAUGUGCCUUGUAAUGUAUUACAUCUGCACAACAUUAUGAUGUAUAAGGGAUGAAGUGUCUGGAGGCCCCUGGAUCAGAAGAAACUCUCUACUCUUCUUGAGGACCAGCAGCCAUCAGAUACAAAAAGAUAUAGACAUAAUUUUAAAAACCAACUUAGUGGAUCACUGAGGUGUCUUGUCAUUCCGCGAAGCACGUUGAUGACAGCAGCUGCUUUGAGCGUCUGGUGAAAGUGGAAGAAAGCAGGGAGGUGAGGGCACUGAACACAGAAAGGCCCUGCCACCUGGUGGGGAAGCAGGGCUGGAGACGCACUUCUGCAUAGAGAGGAGGUGGCUGUACUUCACUGCGUCUCUACUGCUGGCACAGAGACACAGAGCUGUCUGGUUCUUUUUCGUCGAUGUCACAGUGAGAGGAAAGAAUGGCCUCUUGCCUCGAGAGACACUGUAGCCUUCAGGUAUUUUGGGGUCUGAGUGAUUCUACCAUCUGCUGUGCCUAUAGAAGAAAGAGAGGCUCUAGAAACACAGCCCAGGAGGGUGCCUGAUGCUGCUGUCAUGGGUAGAAGGACUUAGAUCUGGAGCUUAGCACCUUUGGGACAGGAAUUUGCUCCCUGACCCCAGGACUCACCUGCUCCGAGGAGACAAAGAGCCACACAGCAGAUCACCUGGUGACCCAUGAUGGGAGAGGGGGCUCCCUGGAGUGCUAAGCACCUGUUGGAAGACAAAUGACGGUAGAAACUUAGCUCUGGGGAUCCCCCUGGCUUAAAAUGCGGAAGUUGUCAGAAGGCUGGAAUGGAUAACUGGAAAGGAUCCCACAGGUGUUCUGGGUUCUGGGUGACGCCAGCAUUCAUGGGAC
Molecule: long non-coding RNA, 1686 nt
Organism: Felis catus (domestic cat)
Lineage: Eukaryota; Metazoa; Chordata; Mammalia; Carnivora; Felidae
Exons: 4
Source: RefSeq, a predicted model, not a curated record